UGGGGAAUUUUGGACAAUGGACGCAAGUCUGAUCCAGCCAUGCCGCGUGCGGGAAGAAGGCCUUCGGGUUGUAAACCGCUUUUGUCAGGGAAGAAACGAGUUUCUCUAAUACAGAGACUUAAUGACGGUACCUGAAGAAUAAGCACCGGCUAACUACGUGCCAGCAGCCGCGGUAAUACGUAGGGUGCAGGCGUUAAUCGGAAUUACUGGGCGUAAAGCGUGCGCAGGCGGUUAUAUAAGACAGAUGUGAAAUCCCCGGGCUCAACCUGGGACCUGCAUUUGUGACUGCAUAGCUAGAGUACGGCAGAGGGGGAUGGAAUUCCGCGUGUAGCAGUGAAAUGCGUAGAUAUGCGGAGGAACACCGAUGGCGAAGGCAAUCCCCUGGGCCUGUACUGACGCUCAUGCACGAAAGCGUGGGGAGCAAACA
Molecule: ribosomal RNA, 427 nt
Filed under: uncultured bacterium
Lineage: Bacteria
Description: bacterial SSU rRNA
Rfam family: Bacterial small subunit ribosomal RNA
Source: RNAcentral